CCUACGGGUGGCUGCAGUGAGGAAUAUUGGUCAAUGGGCUCGAGCCUGAACCAGCCAAGUAGCGUGAAGGAUGACUGCCCUACGGGUUGUAAACUUCUUUUAUAAAGGAAUAACGUAAUGCACGUGUGCCUUUUUGUAUGUACUUUAUGACUAAGGAUCGGCUAACUCCGUGCCAGCAGCCGCGGUAAUACGUAGGAUCCGAGCGUUAUCCGGAUUUAUUGGGUUUAAAGGGAGCGUAGAGGGGUUGUUAAGUCAGUUGUGAAAGUUUGCGGCUUAACCGUAAAAGUGCAAUUGAUACUGGCAGUCUUGAGUACAGUUGAGGUAUGCGGAAGUCGUGGUGUAGCGGUGAAAUGCUUAGAUAGCACGAAGAACUCCGAUUGCGAAGGCAGCUUACU
RNAcentral lists this ribosomal RNA (395 nucleotides) under uncultured bacterium. RNAcentral's name for it is "partial 16S ribosomal RNA". It matches the Rfam family "Bacterial small subunit ribosomal RNA", at positions 338 to 730 of the family's 1533-position model. The record is from RNAcentral.